Leopardus geoffroyi (Geoffroy's cat) is the source of this 336-nucleotide long non-coding RNA. RefSeq lists it as uncharacterized. The record is from RefSeq and is a predicted model, not a curated record. NCBI's taxonomy places the organism in Eukaryota, Metazoa, Chordata, Mammalia, Carnivora, Felidae. The transcript is spliced from 2 exons.
GAGAGAAAACGAGAAGAAUCCAUAGGACCAAAUACAGGCAAUUAUUUGUCCACAUUCCUGCAUUGAUAAUUUCUCCUCCCUCUUUAGGAAGAGCAAUUUUGGCCUUUUAUCGCUAAACCAAUGAGAAACAACAAAAUAGCCUCCAGUAUGGUGUUCACUUUGGGCCCUAAUGUCUCCAGAGGAUGAGAUGCCACAAACGUGUACAACAGGUUCACAUAUGAUGCUUCAGCAGUGAAUCUGAUAUUUGCACAAGCUCAUGGUUGUCAGGAUGUUCCAGUGGUAAGAGAAUGAAUGUCGGGGAAACAGACAUAUAGGAAUAAAUAGUUCCCAGCUUUA